GCCCGGGUGGUGAAAUAGGUAGACACAAGGGAUUUAAAAUCCCUCGCUGGCAACAGCGUGCCGGUUCAAGUCCGGCUCCGGGCACCA
RNAcentral lists this transfer RNA (87 nucleotides) under Pseudidiomarina salinarum. Its description in RNAcentral is "Idiomarina salinarum tRNA-Leu". It matches the Rfam family "tRNA". From Rfam's summary of the family: Transfer RNA (tRNA) molecules are approximately 80 nucleotides in length. Their secondary structure includes four short double-helical elements and three loops (D, anti-codon, and T loops). Lineage: Bacteria; Pseudomonadati; Pseudomonadota; Gammaproteobacteria; Alteromonadales; Idiomarinaceae. The record is from RNAcentral.